AAGCAUCAGAGUGGGACCGAUUUACAGACACUAAUUGGCCCCAACCUGUCACCAGCUUGAGCCUCCCAAAGGUGCGAGAAGAACUUCUGGGAGGACCGGGAGCUGCAAGUGGGACAGGGGCACAGUCAGGGGAUGCUGUGCUUCAGCACAGAGGGUUCUGUGUCUCACAAGGUCUGGGAGAAGGCGAGCGAGAGGUCAGGCGGGUUGGCGAGAGACAGAAAAGACAGCAGAGCUGAUACAGACCGUUCAAUCCCGUUCAUACAAAGUUACUCGGGCGCUGUUACGGGAUGCGCAAAACGCCUUCACCGCGCGACCCAGCAGGAGAACACAGAAAGUUCAGCCAACACCAGCCGCACCGUUUCUUGCCACCCCAACCCCGCACCGCUCGGACACCCCCCGGACGGACCCCGCGGUACGAGUGUACAGGUGAAAUCAGAUGGACUCAUCUGACCAGCACAGCUUCUUUCCACGCCAGCCACCUCUCAAGCAAAAUCUUCAUGCUGGUAGCUGAGUCUCUGUGGGUUCUUGAUGGGUUAUUAUCUACUCCUCCGACGUGGUUAAAGAUCCAGCUCUAGUUUUAGAGGUAAGAAAAAGAUUUGUAUUUAUGGUUUAAAGUGAUCGAUGAGCUCCUGUGUGUUUUAUCAUGACAGACUACUU
RNAcentral lists this long non-coding RNA (657 nucleotides) under Coturnix japonica (Japanese quail). RNAcentral describes it as "lncRNA (ENSCJPG00005001236.1)". The record is from RNAcentral. Lineage: Eukaryota; Metazoa; Chordata; Aves; Galliformes; Phasianidae.